UGCUAUUGGAAGAGGUUGUCCUCUUGAAAGA
RNAcentral lists this non-coding RNA (31 nucleotides) under Rattus norvegicus (Norway rat). The record is from RNAcentral. Lineage: Eukaryota; Metazoa; Chordata; Mammalia; Rodentia; Muridae.